Molecule: long non-coding RNA, 1390 nt
Filed under: Daphnia pulicaria
Lineage: Eukaryota; Metazoa; Arthropoda; Branchiopoda; Diplostraca; Daphniidae
Description: uncharacterized LOC124341473, transcript variant X2
Source: RNAcentral
CAAGUUAGGCACACAUGUCCGACAACAGACGUAUGUAAACCAGUAUAGGAGCAAUCCACUUGCUGUCAGUAAGAAACAGGCGUCAGGAAAAAGAGACAGUUAAAUGUUACUUGUCGCUCAAGUUCUCCACUAUCUAAACUUUAUCACCUCCAUUAUACCAAUGACGUAAAGCACAGAUUUAGAAACACAAAAGUGUUGAAAUUUGUUUUAACGGUCGUUCCACCGUAUCAUAAAGUGAAGCAUCUAGCCCGAUGUCGCUCAAGUUUUCCAACACGGCCCCAAGAAUAACUCGCCUGCUUGGAUCUAUUCAUUGGCUAGACCUCUGAUUCUGGUUGGAUGUUUCGUUUUUUUCGCACAAACGGCCUCAAAUCGUUGAGAGAAUUCUCUGUAAGUGUGAACCGUCCAUGCGUGUCCCGCUGAGAAGAAAUGGCAACCAGCGGCCAACCAAAAAACCCACAACAUGAGCAUAGAUGGUAAAAACCGGUAAAACCGUCAGGGAUGUCGCCCGUCACAGAGGAGUGAAGAUAGCUUGGAACUUAAGUACGACAAAGCAUUACCACGAGAGGAACGAAAAAGCUGCUGCAAGACGGCUAGUGAAAGCCGAAAGGCAUGUCGAAUUCAAGUUGAGCUGCUGCUUGCUGUCCGGAAGCAAGCAAUCCCGCCGUUGCGUUCGGAAUGGAGGAGGAUUGAACAGGAAUCUAAUGACUGUCAAUAGGUGGCUGUCAAUAGGUGGCUGAAAUGAUGUCCACCAGGUAGCGCGAGUGUCUUCAGCACUGACACAGAGCGGCCAUUUUGUUUCAAGACGCAGUAGAGGUGGGUUGUUGGUCGUGACGUUCUCACGAUGAAAAUUAAAAGGUAAUUUGGCUCGUAGAAACCAAUUUGCCAAUUCAUUCAAGUUCAACUCAGGCUUGGAAGUGCCCGUACAUUGCCGAAAUGGCGUGCCUCGUGUGUCUUGCUGCCUGUUCUUAGGCGUACAUCUCAUCCCAUGCAACAGCAAAAAGUAUAACAAACACUUCUUUAACACUGUUGGUUACCUUGUUGCAGCCAAAUGGUGAAAGGUGUGACGAAGACAGAUGGAACCAUUGUAUGCAGCAUGCGGUUGCUGUGAUAUUCAGAAGUAGCAGUACUGGUGUUAUCCUGAAAUUGCUGUGCUGUUGUAGCUAAGCUGUUCCAUCUGGGUUCCUGACUUGAAAAUUUUUAUGUUGUUCUUUGCCUGCUAGUAUUUUGUGUUGUGACUUCAAAUAGUUUGAUCUGUCGUCUUUUGAGUUUUCAUUCAAUCAUGCAGUAUACGACUGAGGCAACCUGAUCAAUGUCAGGUUUGACACAGUCGAGAACUGCUAGAUAAAACAAGCUUUCUGCGCCAAACAAAUAAUAAUUUGCAUAUAACUUG